UUGGUGGAAGUAAAAAAGUCGUAACAAGGUUUCCGUAGGUGAACCUGCGGAAGGAUCAUUAUCGAGUUUUGAACGGGUUGUCUGCUGGCUCGCAAGGGCAUGUGCACGCCUGUCUCAUCCACUCUCAACUUCUGUGCACUUUUCAUAGGCCGGCUUGUGGGUGCGUUCGCGCACUUGUAGGUGUCGGGCUUAUGCUUUAUUACAAACGAUUCAGUUUUAGAAUGUCAUACUUUGCUAUAACGCAAUUUAUAUACAACUUUCAGCAACGGAUCUCUUGGCUCUCGCAUCGAUGAAGAACGCAGCGAAAUGCGAUAAGUAAUGUGAAUUGCAGAAUUCAGUGAAUCAUCGAAUCUUUGAACGCACCUUGCGCUCCUUGGUAUUCCGAGGAGCAUGCCUGUUUGAGUCUCAUGGAAUUCUCAACCUUCAGCUUUAUUGAUGAAGGCUUGGACUUGGAGGUCGUGCCGGCUCUCGUAGUCGGCUCCUCUGAAAUGCAUUAGUGCGAACGUUACCAGCCGCUUCAGCGUGAUAAUUAUCUGCGUUGCUGUGGAGGGUAUUCUAGUGUUCACGCUUCUAACCGUCUUCGGACAAAUUUCUGAACUCUGAGCUCAAAUCAGGUAAG
RNAcentral lists this ribosomal RNA (619 nucleotides) under Bjerkandera adusta. RNAcentral's name for it is "eukaryotic LSU rRNA". The stretch from base 255 to 408 matches the Rfam family "5.8S ribosomal RNA". The record is from RNAcentral. Lineage: Eukaryota; Fungi; Basidiomycota; Agaricomycetes; Polyporales; Phanerochaetaceae.